This is a long non-coding RNA of Brienomyrus brachyistius, 5326 nucleotides long. RefSeq lists it as uncharacterized. The transcript has 5 exons. The record is from RefSeq and is a predicted model, not a curated record. NCBI's taxonomy places the organism in Eukaryota, Metazoa, Chordata, Actinopteri, Osteoglossiformes, Mormyridae.
CUGGAUUUGUCCUCUCUGGACCUGAAAUCUCCGCCUCUGUAUAUUCGUUCAGCAAGGUUCAGGUCUUCCAAAUUCUUUUACGGCCGAAUAUCCAUGUGCAUGUCCAGGGUUUGCACAAUCCAGUUUUUCAGUUCAAUAUAUUUUUAUAUAGCACCUUUAUAUAGAGUCAUCCAAAGAAGCUAGUAUAUGGCUAUGUUGUUAUACAUUCGUGCAUCAUUUAUGCAGAAUUUAUACAGAAUUAAAUUUUGUUUGGUGGUUUGCUUAGAGCAUUUGACUACCUAGUCUUAUUUUUUUUUUUAAUUAACCCAGAGAAAAGGUCCUAUUUAUCUGUCGAUGUUAAUGCUAGCCAACUCGACUAUUAACUAAUUAUGAUACUGACGAUCAAACGUUAUGUGUGUGCAUUUAGCCUAUUAAUGUAUGUCUUAGCCUGUUAUUAGUAGAAUAUUAAUGCAUAUAAAAAAUUAUGCAUGCUGUCCGCUCACAUUAUAAAACAAUGUGACCAUCUCUAGACAUACCUCCUCCCUUCUUGGGCCACUCCAGUUAAAAUUUCCUAGAACGGCCUCUGGUGACGGUUAAGUACCUUACAGCGUAGGGAAAGGGGGGGUCACACUUUGCUGAAGAGGCACCGCUGAUCAAGCAAAAAAUCCAGGAUAAUCUUUGGGUUCACUGCGAUCCCUCAGUAGACCUUCCAGAGUGCCGCGCUGUUGUUCCCUUGUGGAGGUGUGCAGGGACUGUGAAGCGCGCGCCACCGGCCGCCCACUUCGUUUCUGCCGCACAGCGAUGCUAAGUUCACCGAUGAACACAAGGGGGCGCAAUUGACCCUGAUACACGGCAACAUAAGAUGUGGCUGUGGAACGAUGAGAGAGUGGCGGACUCAGUUCAUGGAAGGCAAGCGUUUCCAUUCUAGGUAUUCUGACGAAAUGACGAAUGUGCUUCAUGGCCGCGACAAGUUAAAAAAGACAACAACAACACACGUGACACACGACAUCGCAGGAAGCGCGUCUAAAGUUGAAGACGUAUGCAGAGUCAACACACAAACAACUCCUAGGUUUGCAGUGGCGAGGGAGACUUCUUCUCAGCAGCGUUUAACAACGUGUUUCCUACGAGACCGUACCCUACACCUGCAGAUGCACUGCAUCUACAGGAGGCGACGUGACGCCUUUCACGCUAAGCCAUCAGCGUGCUGACAUCUCCACCGUGAGUAUAAUGGUGUGUGUCUCGGGCACAGGGUAACAAUACUAUAUAAUGUGGUAAUAAUACACUAAAUAUCACUUCAUGUAACGUUGACCCGAUGGCUAGAUGGUCUUGCAGCACGUAUGGGGAAAAACACUGGCAUUUACAUCUACCCAUGAACAAAAGAAAUCGGAAUUUGGAGCGGUCUGAACAUUAAGUGCUUUAAAUCCAAACGAGUUCUACAGUAUUUUUUGGCAAACGUUUACAGUUUCAACUUAGUGUCUAUACAGAAACAGCAUCCCCAGCAGUUUAGAAGCCCAGUUAAAUAUACGCUAUGUGCAGGUCCCUCGCCAUGACUUCUGGAUACUUCCAGUUUCGGGAGGGCGGUGGGGGGAUUUUUCUGCUGAAAUACAACUGACCUUCUGUUUUGUUUUGUUUUUUAAAGAGCAACUUCCAUAUUCAGUCAAGAGGCACAAUAAAAAAAGCUUGCACUGUACCACAACAACAACAAUGAAAUAAAGGAACAAAAGUUACCAGAAUACCAUCCAUGUGGUCUAAGUGAUUACUGUACAUUGUCGAACACAUUCUUUCAGAAUGGUACAGGACGCUGCCCAGGUUUGUGCUUCAGUACGUUUCCUACUGCAAUCCUUCCAGUCCCACCUGUGGUGUCCAGGAUGUGGCCGCCAGCCCGGCGGUUUUGGAGACUGCGGGGGGCAGCUGUGGGGUAGCUGCUGGCACCCCACCCCCUAUCUGAGGCUGCUAAGGGCGGGGGAGGGGAGAUGUGGCCACUUAGUGACCGACUUCUUUGUUGGUGGCGCGAACCCAGUCCAGGAUAAUCAGGGACAUGCAGCUGAUCAUGACAACAAACCCCAGGAUCAAGAAGAGGACAGCCUGGCAGUAGAGGGAGGGGAGAAAGACGAUUCAGUCCGGCUGCGUCCAGUCCUUGCCAUCAGAACACUGCCACUAAGCAUAGAAACGCCCCAAUUUGCCCCAACACAUGAUCGCUUACCCCAAUCUUCUGGAUAGAGUUCAUUGGCUCCUUCCUCACCAGCUUGAUGUAGAACGCAGAUGGAAGGAUGAAGAUCAACAUGCCAGCGGCAGAGGCUCCUAAGAGAUGAGGGAAGACAUGGGGAGAGUCAGAGACAAGAAGGGCGGCCCUGUCAGGCAGCACCACGGGGGGAGCAGCAGAAGGUUGCUCACCAAUGACGCCGAAGAUGUCCCGGAUGCUGGGCACGAAGAUGACGAGAACAUUGGUGCUGCCCAGGAGGGUGAUGGUGAUGAUGAAAUGCCGGAUCCAGCUGAAAUCUUUGGAGGCGCAGAGCAGUUGGUUGACAGAGGUGCGGAUCUGUUGGGUGGGACAGGAAAACUGGUAAGGAUAGCAGCUUCAACGGCUACGGACCACUUUUCCAGCCCGAGAAUGGUAACCGCUAACUAGGCCAAUGGAGGCAGCAGAGGUACGCACUGGGAAAAGCACAACAGGAACGGUCAAGGUGACUGCGGUCAGGACGGCCAGGCGCACGAUGAGGAGGACCACGUCAAAUUUGAAGAUUCUGCGGUAGGUGUGAAGCAGCUCUGGUUCUACAUUGCCUGUAGAAAGAAACCAGAAGUCCAGCCUUCAGAACAUCCAUCCAUCCUUCCACCAAUCAUUUAUCCAACACAAGCCCAUGUGGGCCCUCCACAGUAAACCCAACAUCAACCCAACUCCACCUACUGGCUACUAUCUGCGUAGCUGUCAUAUCAAAACAAACAACAAAUAACAAAAAAAUCAAUAUGGAAUCUUCUGCCCAAUGGUAAACAUGCAUCCAAUUGACUUACGGAAGAUAUACUGGUUACUGUCCUGUUUAGCUGCUUACAUUAAAUUGCCCAGAUACUGCAGAUAUUCAAUGGUAGGAGUAACUGACUCACCGUAGAAGGAGAGAUAGCCAAACAGGGCAGCCAGCAGGUACAUGACGAACAUGGACAAGAAGGAGACGUUGGCCACGUUCUGCAUCUUCUUACGGGAGCGACUAGGAAGAGGAGUAACGUACAUAAAGACGCUGCAAUUGUCCACCGAUCAACAUUCUUUUAAACCCUAAAGCAGAAUUUCUGCUGAGGCAGUUCAGCUGAGGUACGUGGCUGAUCCAGUAACUACGAGUUACAAAACCUGCACUUCCUGGGCAAAACCCUAAAACCCUUUACCGCUAUCGCAUAGCCUAGCAGUUUCCGAUGACUCUUCUUGAGCAUCGCGCUAUGAAGAGGACUUACUCUUUCAAUUCCUCGUACAUAGGCAGCACCGCAGGGUGGCAGACGAAGGCAAAGGUCAGGAUAGGAAUAGCAUAUGCCGUCUAAAGAUAAAAACACAGACAAUCCAUAAGACUUUUAGAUAGCUCCGACAGCAACGGUGACCUGGCAUUGUCCAUUCCCCGGGCACAUGACUGAAGACUUCUCCGUAACGCACCUGAGAGUUAUGGACAAAGUAUUUUGGCGUGCAAGCAUUAUCUUCAUAGGCUGUGAGGUUGUGCUCCGAAUGAGAAACGCCGGUGUCCAGGGUAAUGUUCUCUGAGUCCUCGUUCAGCAUGCCGCAAGUGAUCUGGAACUUCUUGUAGAUAACCUGUGAAAGAAUGCGCCGUUGGAAACGAGCCUAGUUAUGUAUCACUGUAAGGUGCUUUUCUUUAAAGCUACACCCUUUUAUUGUUGUCAACUGUGAUAAAAGCCUCGACAGUGAAAGCAGAUGGGUCAUUAACAACCAAACUCACCACAAUCAGGAAGAAGACCAUGCAGAGUAAGGAGAGACCACUGGUAUAUCCAAGGUAACCUGGAAUUCCAAUGGUAAAUAUCAUAUUAAGUACACAGAUGGAAAUGUCAUCAUACAUCCUGUUUUUUUUUCCCCAAACACACCCUGUAAUUACUCACUCAUUGUACAUUCAGAACAGAGUGACGCGCUACUUCCUCAGCCAAGUACGCACUUCGCAAACUUUUUAGCUGCCUCUGUUUUUGCUUACCGAGAUUUUUUAGCAGUGACAGGGGCAAGAUGAGCACUAAGGAGACGAGUACCACCAGGUAGUCACCGUUCAGGUACCAUUCUCUGCAAAACAGAUGCAGACACACUUAGCCUCAAACCGCAAGUGACUCACAGCCCUCCAAGGUUUCUGACAGUCACAAAACAAUAAACAAAUUAAAUAAUCUGGAACAUACCCCAAGUUUUUUUCCACCCCCAAGAAAGCCCGGAUGACUUCUGGCAGUUCAUACUUCACGAUGUAGAGGUAGCUGGACAUGGCUGUGGAGUGUCACACAAACUUUACUCUCGUUCAGCGAUUACAUAAUUAGCCUCGAUUUUCGCGGAAAAAAACGGCAAAGCGUGUAUCCGCGCGGUUCUCAGAAGUAUAGCAUGUGCAACUUCCUUUUUAACGACUACAUUUUUGUUUAAAAAGAGGACUUCCUGCCUCUUGUUUCUGGGCAGUGGCUACGGGCUCCUUACCUCCAAUGUUUUGCACGGUGAUAGAUAUCGAAGCAGCAAGUUUUCCAGGCAAGCCGAAAGCUUUGUAGCCCAACUGUUCGUAUACUAAGGCACCUGGAGAGGCCACAGCAAGUUUACACUUAGUGACAACGGGCGAAGGCAAUAAUUAAACACGUCUUUAAUUAACCAAACGAGCCUCACCUCCUUCAUUGGCUGUUUUCAGCAGCAGGUGCACAGAGUAAAGGGAGAAUAUUAAUACUGAGACGAGGAGGAUCCUGCAAGAUGAAAGCAAAAGAGGAGCCGGGUUAUUCCCUGGAAUGAUGCCCCCCAAGCACCGGGCCCCGCAGCUGCUGUUCAGGGGAAAGACAGUCCCGCGAAUUCACCUAAGCGUGCUGAAAGUCAGAGGUCAGAAUACAGGCACGCGGCUCCCGCUGGUGAUCUCCAGCGUGCCUUUUCCUGUGCUGACCGCUAAAAGUCCGAGGUGAGACAGCGGACAGCUAAGGACACUCACACGAAGAGGGCGAUGCCCGUGUUGGCCAUGGCGUAGGACAGGGCCAGGAUACCACUGCCCAUGAUGGCGUUGCCCAAGUUGAAGACGGACAUCCCGAAGGAGGUCGUACCAGGAUGCUGAAAAAAAGCACAAUUUAUAAAUAAUGAUAAUAACAAUAAUAAUGAUUAGUCACAUUUGGAUAGUAAAUAAAUGAUGAGUGAAACCUA